CGUGGGUAACCUGCCCAUCAGAGGGGGAUAACAUUCGGAAACGGAUGCUAAGACCGCAUAGGUCUUCGAACCGCAUGGUUUGAAGAGGAAAAGAGGCGCAAGCUUCUGCUGAUGGAUGGACCCGCGGUGCAUUAGCUAGUUGGUGAGGUAACGGCUCACCAAGGCCGUGAUGCAUAGCCGACCUGAGAGGGUGAUCGGCCACAUUGGGACUGAGACACGGCCCAA
RNAcentral lists this ribosomal RNA (225 nucleotides) under uncultured bacterium. RNAcentral's name for it is "partial 16S ribosomal RNA". It matches the Rfam family "Bacterial small subunit ribosomal RNA", at positions 116 to 334 of the family's 1533-position model. The record is from RNAcentral.